Molecule: long non-coding RNA, 1467 nt
Filed under: Callithrix jacchus (white-tufted-ear marmoset)
Lineage: Eukaryota; Metazoa; Chordata; Mammalia; Primates; Cebidae
Description: lncRNA (ENSCJAG00000076479.1)
Source: RNAcentral
AUGGGGUUGGGUCUUUCCUGUGCUGUGCUUGUGAUAGUAAGUCUCGCGAGAUCUGAUGGUUUUAUAAAGGGGGGUUCCCCCUACACAAGCUCUCUUGCCUGCCUUCAUGUAAGACGGGACUUUGCUCCUUCUUUGCCUUCCACUGUCAUUGUGAGGCCGCCCCAGCCAUGUGAAACUGUUGCUUCCAAGUCUUGGCUGUCGUGGAUACUGCUGCAGAAAUCAUGGGAGUGCAAAUAUCUCUGGCAUACUGAUUUCCAGUCUUUUGGGUGAAUACCAAGCAAGUGGAAUACUGGAUCAUAAGGUAGUUCUAUUUUUAGUUUUUCAAGGAAUGUCCAAAUUGUUCUCCAGAGUUGUACCAACUUACAUUCCCAUCAACAGUAUAUGAGGGUUCCCUUUUUUCCAUGUCUUCGUCAGCAUUUAUUAUUGCCUGACUUUUGGAUAAAAGCCAUUUUAGCUGUAUUAAGAUGAUAUCUCAUUGUAGUUUUUAUUUGUAUUUCUGGGAUAACUAAUGAUGCUGAGCACCUUUUCAUAUCAUGUUUAUCAUGUUAUGUCUUCUUUUGAAAAAUGUCUAUUCAGAUCUUUCACCCAUUUGUUAAUUGGAUUAUUUGAUUUUUUUCCUUUAGAGUUAUUUUUCUCCUUACAUACUCUGUAAGGAGUACUCCUUACAUCCCCAUCACAGAUGGGUGGUUCGCAAAUAUUUUCUCCCACUCUAUAGAUUGUCUCUUCACUUGGUUGACUGUUUAUUUUGCUGUGCAGAAGCUUUUUAACUUGAUGUGAUUCUAUUUGUUCAUUUUUUGCUUUGGUUGCCUGUAUUUACUGGGUAUUACUCAAAAGACCUUUGUCUAGUCCAAUGUCCUAAAGAGUUUCCCCAAUGGUUUAUUUUAGUAGUUUUAUAUUUGAUGUAUUAGAUUUAAGUCUUUAAAACAUUUUUACUUGAUUUUUGUAUAUGGUAAGAGGUAUGGGUCUAGUUCCAUUCUUCUACAUAUGGAUAUUGGAUUUCCAUAGCACUAUUUAAUUCUGUCAUAUGUGGCUUUUAUGGUAUUGAGGUAUGUUCCUUCUAUAUCCAGUUCUUUUGAGGGUUUUUAUUAUAAAAUGGUGUUGAAUUUUAUCAAAUACUUUUUAGCAUCAGUUGAAAUGAUCAUACAGUUUUUGUCCUUCAUGCUGUUGAUAUGAUGUAUAAUAUUGAUUGAUUUGCGUAUGUUGAACCAUGCUUGCAUCCCUAGGACAAAUUUCUCUUAGUCAUGAUAAAUGAUCUUUUUAAAGUGUUAUUGAAUUCAGUUUGGUAUUUUGUUGAGGAUUUUUGCAACAAUGUUCAUCAUGAACCUGGGCCUGUUGUUUCCUGUUUCAGAUGUGUCUUUGUUUAAUUUUGGUAUCAGAGUAAUGUUGUUUUCACAUAAUGAGUUUGAAAGUAUUUCCUCCUCCUCUAUAUUUCAAAAUAGUUUGAGUAGGGUUGGUAUUAAUUCUUUA